This 483-nucleotide ribosomal RNA is filed under the name uncultured bacterium. RNAcentral describes it as "partial 16S ribosomal RNA". It matches the Rfam family "Bacterial small subunit ribosomal RNA", at positions 28 to 523 of the family's 1533-position model. The record is from RNAcentral.
GACGAACGCUGGCGGCGUGCUUAACACAUGCAAGCCGAACGGUGAAAGCGGAGCUUGCUCCGCUGGAUCAGUGGCGAACGGGUGAGUAACACGUGGUCAACCUGCCCCUCACUUCGGGAUAACUCCGGGAAACCGGGGCUAAUACCGGAUAUGACCUCCUUGGGCAUCCUUGGAGGUGGAAAGUUUUUCGGUGAGGGAUGGGCCCGCGGCCUAUCAGCUUGUUGGUGAGGUAGUGGCUCACCAAGGCGACGACGGGUAGCCGGCCUGAGAGGGCAACCGGCCACACUGGGACUGAGACACGGACCAGACUCCUACGGGAGGCAGCAGUGGGGAAUAUUGCGCAAGGGGCGCAAGCCUGAUGCAGCGACGCCGCGUGAGGGAUGACGGCCUUCGGGUUGUAAACCUCUUUCAGCACCGACGAAGCGCAAGUGACGGUAGGUGCAGAAGAAGGACCGGCCAACUACGUGCCAGCCGCCGCCGUAA